AUUGAACGCUGGCGGAAUGCUUUACACAUGCAAGUCGAACGAUGAACCUUAGCUUGCUAAGGGGAUUAGUGGCGAACGGGUGAGUAAUAUAUCGGAACGUGCCUUGUAAUGGGGGAUAACUAGUCGAAAGAUUAGCUAAUACCGCAUACGCCCUGAGGGGGAAAGUAGGGGAUCUUCGGACCUUACGUUAUAAGAGCGGCCGAUAUCUGAUUAGCUAGUUGGUGGGGUAAUGGCCUACCAAGGCGACGAUCAGUAGCUGGUCUGAGAGGACGACCAGCCACACUGGAACUGAGACACGGUCCAGACUCCUACGGGAGGCAGCAGUGGGGAAUUUUGGACAAUGGGCGCAAGCCUGAUCCAGCCAUGCCGCGUGAGUGAAGAAGGCCUUCGGGUUGUAAAGCUCUGUCGCAAGGGAAGAAAACUUACCAUCGAAUAAAUGGUGAGGCUGACGGUACCUUGAUAAGAAGCACCGGCUAACUACGUG
This 484-nucleotide ribosomal RNA is filed under the name uncultured bacterium. RNAcentral's name for it is "partial 16S ribosomal RNA". It matches the Rfam family "Bacterial small subunit ribosomal RNA", at positions 30 to 507 of the family's 1533-position model. The record is from RNAcentral.